CAUCUUUUCUAGUAUUUUAUUUGAGAUCUGACCUGCCCCAAUGAUUUAUUUAAAUGGCCGCGGUAUUUUGACCGUGCAAAGGUAGCAUAAUCAUUAGUUUAUUAAUUGUAGACUUGUAUGAAUGGUUGGACGAAAUAUUAACUGUCUCAUAUUAAUUUUUAUAAUUUAAAUUUUGAGUUAAAAUGCUUAAAUAUUUUUAUAGGACGAGAAGACCCUAUAGAUCUUUAUUUUUGAUUUUUUUAUUUAUUUUGGUUUAUUUUUAUAUAAUUAUUUUAUUUAUUUUGUUGGGGUGACAUUGAUAUAUAAUUAACUAUUUAUUUUUGAUAUUCAUUUAUUUUUGUUUAUUUGACCUUUUAUUAUUGUUAUAAGAUUUAGAUACCUUAGGGAUAACAGCGUAAUUCUCUUUGAGAGUUCAUAUCGACAAGGGAGAUUGCGACCUCGAUGUUGGAUUAAGAAAAUAUUUAGGUGUAGGUGCUUAAUUGUUAAGUCUGUUCGACUUUUAAAUUCUUAC
RNAcentral lists this ribosomal RNA (511 nucleotides) under Candovia coenosa. RNAcentral describes it as "partial large subunit ribosomal RNA". The stretch from base 386 to 511 matches the Rfam family "Bacterial large subunit ribosomal RNA", at positions 2473 to 2599 of the family's 2925-position model. The record is from RNAcentral. Lineage: Eukaryota; Metazoa; Arthropoda; Insecta; Phasmatodea; Lonchodidae.